Molecule: ribosomal RNA, 449 nt
Filed under: uncultured bacterium
Lineage: Bacteria
Description: SSU rRNA
Rfam family: Bacterial small subunit ribosomal RNA
Source: RNAcentral
AGAGCGAACGCUGGCGGCAGGCUUAACACAUGCAAGUCGAGCGGGCGUAGCAAUACGUCAGCGGCAGACGGGUGAGUAACGCGUGGGAACGUACCUUUUGGUUCGGAACAACCCAGGGAAACUUGGGCUAAUACCGGAUAAGCCCUUACGGGGAAAGAUUUAUCGCCGAAAGAUCGGCCCGCGUCUGAUUAGCUAGUUGGUGAGGUAAUGGCUCACCAAGGCGACGAUCAGUAGCUGGUCUGAGAGGAUGAUCAGCCACAUUGGGACUGAGACACGGCCCAAACUCCUACGGGAGGCAGCAGUGGGGAAUAUUGGACAAUGGGCGCAAGCCUGAUCCAGCCAUGCCGCGUGAGUGAUGAAGGCCCUAGGGUUGUAAAGCUCUUUUGUGCGGGAAGAUAAUGACGGUACCGCAAGAAUAACGCCCCGGCUAACUUCGUGCCAGCAGCCGC